RNAcentral lists this transfer RNA (63 nucleotides) under Glycera cf. oxycephala FS21. Its description in RNAcentral is "tRNA-Thr". It matches the Rfam family "tRNA". From Rfam's summary of the family: Transfer RNA (tRNA) molecules are approximately 80 nucleotides in length. Their secondary structure includes four short double-helical elements and three loops (D, anti-codon, and T loops). Further hydrogen bonds mediate the characteristic L-shaped molecular structure. tRNAs have two regions of fundamental functional importance: the anti-codon, which is responsible for specific mRNA codon recognition, and the 3' end, to which the tRNAs corresponding amino acid is attached (by aminoacyl-tRNA synthetases). tRNAs cope with the degeneracy of the genetic code in two manners: having more than one tRNA (with a specific anti-codon) for a particular amino acid; and 'wobble' base-pairing, i.e. permitting non-standard base-pairing at the 3rd anti-codon position. The record is from RNAcentral. Lineage: Eukaryota; Metazoa; Annelida; Polychaeta; Phyllodocida; Glyceridae.
GCUUAUAAAGCUAAAAUAUAGCGUUGGUCUUGUAAACCAAAGGUUGGGCUUCCCCUAUAAGCU